RNAcentral lists this ribosomal RNA (406 nucleotides) under uncultured bacterium. Its description in RNAcentral is "partial 16S ribosomal RNA". It matches the Rfam family "Bacterial small subunit ribosomal RNA", at positions 29 to 526 of the family's 1533-position model. The record is from RNAcentral.
AUUGAACGCUGGCGGCAGGCCUAACACAUGCAAGUCGAACGAGUGGCGGACGGGUGAGUAAUGUCUGGGAAACUGCCUGAUGGAGGGGGAUAACUACUGGAAACGGUAGCUAAUACCGCAUACAAUCAGAUGUGCCCAUAGGGCAUUCGGUUGGUGGGGUGGGAAAGGCUAACCAAGGCGACGAACCCUAGCUGGGCUGAGAGGAUGACCGGCACCACUGGGACUGAGACACGGUCCAGACUCCUACGGGAGGCAGCAGUAGGGAAUAUUGGGCAAUGGGCGAAAGCCUGAUGCAGCCAUGCCGCGUGUAUGAAGAAGGCCUUCGGGUUGUAAAGUACUUUCGGCGGAGAAGCGUUACCCACAGAAGAAGCAACGGCUAACUCCGUGCCAGCAGCCGCGGUAAUAC